AAAUGUAGUCUCCGCGGGAAAGCGGCCCGGGUGCAGAGAGAAAGGGAGGAUCGUUGCUAUGGACUUUCGCCUUUAGUUGCGGAAGCGUGGCCGCAGUGUUACUAAGAGACGAGGUCUCGCUAUGUUGCCCAGGCUUGUGUCAAGCAAUCCUCCCGCCUCGGCGUCCCAAAGUGCUGGAAUUACAGGCAUGAGCCACCAUGCAAACCUGUCUCCAGGAAGUGUUUGCUGAAUGAAUGAAAAGACUAGAUAACGCUGCAAGUAUCCAAGACAGUAGAUGAUUGGCUGGUAAAGCAGAAGCGGUCGCCUAGAAAUUCCCUUCUCCCAUGAUUUGCAAAAUUUUGCUUUUGUAUAUUUUUCUAAGAAAGAAUCUAUAGCUUUUAUUAUGUAUUCCAGGGAAUUGAUAAACCCCUCAACAAGUUAAGAACCAUAUUCCUGAAGUGACUAGUAUUGAAAGUAAGUGAACACACAUCACAUAGUAAAGAAAACUAAAUACGGGCUGUGUAGUGUGUCUCCUCAUUUCCCACGGAAUAUCAGGAGGCUAAUCUUUGCUCUUAUAGAAGCCCACAGAGGGCCCAUCUGUGUCCUUUCCAGUCGUGUCCAUC
Molecule: long non-coding RNA, 602 nt
Organism: Pan troglodytes (chimpanzee)
Lineage: Eukaryota; Metazoa; Chordata; Mammalia; Primates; Hominidae
Exons: 3
Source: RefSeq, a predicted model, not a curated record